GAUGAACGCUAGCUACAGGCUUAACACAUGCCAGUCGAGGGGAAACGACAUCGAAAGCUUGCUUUUGAUGGGCGUCGACCGGCGCACGGGUGAGUAACGCGUAUCCAACCUGCCCAUCACUUGGGAAUAACCUUGCGAAAGUAAGACUAAUACCCAAUGACAUCCCACGAAGACAUCUGAAUGGGAUUAAAGAUUUAUCGGUGAUGGAUGGGGAUGCGUCUGAUUAGCUUGUUGGCGGGGUAACGGCCCACCAAGGCAACGAUCAGUAGGGGUUCUGAGAGGAAGGGCCCCCACAUUGGAAACGGGACACGGUCCCAACUCCUACGGGAGGCAGCAGUGAGGGAUAUUGGUCAAAGGGCGAGAGGCUGAAACAGCCAAGUAGCGUGGAGGAUGACGGCCCUAUGGGUUGUAAAAUGCUUUUAUAAGGGAAUAAAGUGGGUCUCGUGAGACUUUUUGCAUGUACCUUAUGAAUAAGGACCGGCUAAUUCCGU
RNAcentral lists this ribosomal RNA (491 nucleotides) under uncultured bacterium. Its description in RNAcentral is "partial 16S ribosomal RNA". It matches the Rfam family "Bacterial small subunit ribosomal RNA", at positions 28 to 506 of the family's 1533-position model. The record is from RNAcentral.